This 225-nucleotide ribosomal RNA is filed under the name uncultured bacterium. RNAcentral's name for it is "partial 16S ribosomal RNA". It matches the Rfam family "Bacterial small subunit ribosomal RNA", at positions 943 to 1167 of the family's 1533-position model. The record is from RNAcentral.
GGGUUUAAUUCGAUGAUACGCGAGGAACCUUACCCGGGCUUGAAUUGCAGAGGAAGGAUUUGGAGACAAUGACGCCCUUCGGGGCCUCUGUGAAGGUGCUGCAUGGUUGUCGUCAGCUCGUGCCGUGAGGUGUCGGCUUAAGUGCCAUAACGAGCGCAACCCCUCUCCUUAGUUGCCAUCAGGUCAAGCUGGGCACUCUGGGGACACUGCCACCGUAAGGUGUGA